Molecule: long non-coding RNA, 1581 nt
Organism: Pieris napi
Lineage: Eukaryota; Metazoa; Arthropoda; Insecta; Lepidoptera; Pieridae
Exons: 3
Source: RefSeq, a predicted model, not a curated record
AUGGUAAUCGUUCUGUUACUGAAGUAUAUGAAAAGCAAUUAAAGCAUUUAAGUAAAUUGUAAUUAUUAAAAUCGACAAUUACGUAACUAUUAAAAUAUGUUAUCUGAAUAAUCUGGCAUUUCCAAGCAAACAGCCGUGUAGUUUUCUUCACCAAACGCGUGUUUUUAUUUUCAUAAUUGCGUCACUUACUUAUCAAGAGUCGCCAAGCUUAAUAAAGCUACUCGUACGUCUUUGCUAAUAUCCUAAAAACUCGAAUUCAGUGCUAAAAUAGAAAGACAAAUCAUUUAAACCUUUGGCCUACAACGCACUAGUGGCUGGCCGCAAUGCGGUGUGCCGCUGCGGCAGGCCGCACAUCGAUUAUUACAUAAAACCGCACGAUAACGACGCACUGACUUGCGGACAACCGUCAACCGCUCCGGGUGUUCUGGGGCUGCGACGAGCCGCACCGGUUGAAUGAUGCGGUGCGCCGCGUCCCCUCCACGCACUCGGUGCGGUUAACCGCAAUUCGCAAAUACCACGUCCUACCCGCCUGACGCCUCAGUCAUCGCUUGUUCCUCGCGCUAGACACUACGCAGAGUGCGCGUCAUGGAUUUUGAUACAGAAAAGUUCAUUUUAGAAAUCAAAGACCGCCCCGCAAUAUGGGAUAGCAAAUGCGCUGAUCAUCCAGACAGAAAUAAAAGGUUAAAAUGUUGGGAGGAAGUGAUUAAUAUAUAUGCAAAUGAAGAUGAUACACCAGAAGAAAAGGAAGAACUCGGUAAAGUACUUAUGAAAAAAUGGCGGAAUAUUAAAGAUAAUUUUGUAAAAGCUUCUAAAAAAUUAAAAAACAUGAAAAGCGGUUCAGGUGCCAAACAAAAAAGCCCAUAUACCUAUUAUAAUAUUUUAUUAUUCUUAAAAGACUCAACUAUAGUAAAAUAUGAGACAGAGUCAGACAUUGACAACGAUCUUUCCCAAAAUCAUGAUGGCCCAUAUGAAACAUCACAGAAUGUAGCUAAUCAGAAAAGAAGGAAGAAAAGCAAUAAUAAAGACGUUAUUGGACAACAAUUGGUAUCAGUAUUGAACAAAAACUUGGAGUAUAAAAAAGAAAUGGAAAAUGACGAUGACAAGUUGUUUUUGUUAUCCCUUUUAAAAGAGUUCAAAAAAAUUCCAGAUUCUAAUAAAUUGGAAGCGAGAUGUGAAAUCAUAAGAGUUAUAAGAAAUGCUCAACAACCAUAAUUUCAUUAAAGUUAUCCUAUUAGGCAAUUUGAUCGAGGGUAUCGAAACCAUAUUAUGUAUGAAAGUGAAUAUGCUGGAAGGGAAUAUCAAACACUUGAUAGUGACUACACUGGCCGAGAGUAUCAGAGUAGACUCAAUAAUAAAGAAUCCACAACUACAACCACCAAAACCGUCCGUUACCAAAACCGUCAAAAUCUACCAGGUACAUCCACGUACACAAUGAAUACAACUGGAGAGGCAACUCAGGAUUCGGCUAACCAACCAAGACGACGACUCUUUGCUGUCAUGUCGUGUCUCCAAUAGGGGAUGUAUCCAAAAUGGAUCGUCAUGCUCGCUUAAAUGUCAUUGCUUGUGGCGGCGUCCAUGCGU